Molecule: ribosomal RNA, 773 nt
Filed under: uncultured Granulicatella sp.
Lineage: Bacteria; Bacillati; Bacillota; Bacilli; Lactobacillales; Carnobacteriaceae
Description: bacterial SSU rRNA
Rfam family: Bacterial small subunit ribosomal RNA
Source: RNAcentral
CGGGUGAGUAACACGUGGGUAACCUGCCCAUCAGAGGGGGAUAACAUUCGGAAACGGAUGCUAAAACCGCAUAGGUCCUUUAACCGCAUGGUUGAAGGAGGAAAAGAGGCGCAAGCUUCUGCUGAUGGAUGGACCCGCGGUGCAUUAGCUAGUUGGUGAGGUAACGGCUCACCAAGGCCGUGAUGCAUAGCCGACCUGAGAGGGUGAUCGGCCACAUUGGGACUGAGACACGGCCCAAACUCCUACGGGAGGCAGCAGUAGGGAAUCUUCCGCAAUGGACGCAAGCCUGACGGAGCAACGCCGCGUGAGUGAAGAAGGUUUUCGGAUCGUAAAACUCUGUUGUUAGAGAAGAACAAGUGCUAGAGUAACUGUUAGCGCCUUGACGGUAUCUAACCAGAAAGCCACGGCUAACUACGUGCCAGCAGCCGCGGUAAUACGUAGGUGGCAAGCGUUGUCCGGAUUUAUUGGGCGUAAAGCGAGCGCAGGCGGUUCCUUAAGUCUGAUGUGAAAGCCCCCGGCUCAACCGGGGAGGGUCAUUGGAAACUGGGGAACUUGAGUGCAGAAGAGGAGAGUGGAAUUCCAUGUGUAGCGGUGAAAUGCGUAGAUAUAUGGAGGAACACCAGUGGCGAAGGCGACUCUCUGGUCUGUAACUGACGCUGAGGCUCGAAAGCGUGGGUAGCAAACAGGAUUAGAUACCCUGGUAGUCCACGCCGUAAACGAUGAGUGCUAAGUGUUGGAGGGUUUCCGCCCUUCAGUGCUGCAGUUAACGCAUU